CAGGCGCUACGGCGCUGAAGUAACCCAUGCCAUACUCCCAGGAAAAGCUCGAACGACCUUCAACAAAAGGGUACCUGUACCCGAAACCGACACAGGUGGGUAGGUAGAGUAUACUAAGGGGCGCGAGAUAACUCUCUCUAAGGAACUCGGCAAAAUGACUCCGUAACUUCGGGAGAAGGAGUGCCUUAUUUUAAGGUUGCAAUAACCAGAUCCAAGCAACUGUUUAUCAAAAACACAGGUCUCCGCAAAGUCGUAAGACGAUGUAUGGGGGCUGACGCCUGCCCAGUGCCAGAAGGUUAAAGAAGUUGGUUAGCCUUGCGAAGCUGAUGACUGAAGCCCUGGUGAACGGCGGCCGUAACUAUAACGG
This 367-nucleotide ribosomal RNA is filed under the name Aurantiochytrium limacinum. Its description in RNAcentral is "partial Bacterial large subunit ribosomal RNA". It matches the Rfam family "Bacterial large subunit ribosomal RNA", at positions 1570 to 1948 of the family's 2925-position model. Lineage: Eukaryota; Bigyra; Thraustochytrida; Thraustochytriidae. The record is from RNAcentral.